This 551-nucleotide ribosomal RNA is filed under the name uncultured fungus. RNAcentral describes it as "eukaryotic LSU rRNA". The stretch from base 198 to 352 matches the Rfam family "5.8S ribosomal RNA". Lineage: Eukaryota; Fungi. The record is from RNAcentral.
CGUAACAAGGUCUCCGUAGGUGAACCUGCGGANGGAUCAUUACAAGAACGCCCGGGCUUCGGCCUGGUUAUUCAUAACCCUUUGUUGUCCGACUCUGUUGCCUCCGGGGCGACCCUGCCUUCGGGCGGGGGCUCCGGGUGGACACUUCAAACUCUUGCGUAACUUUGCAGUCUGAGUAAACUUAAUUAAUAAAUUAAAACUUUUAACAACGGAUCUCUUGGUUCUGGCAUCGAUGAAGAACGCAGCGAAAUGCGAUAAGUAAUGUGAAUUGCAGAAUUCAGUGAAUCAUCGAAUCUUUGAACGCACAUUGCGCCCCCUGGUAUUCCGGGGGGGCAUGCCUGUUCGAGCGUCAUUUCACCACUCAAGCCUCGCUUGGUAUUGGGCAACGCGGUCCGCCGCGUGCCUCAAAUCGUCCGGCUGGGUCUUCUGUCCCCUAAGCGUUGUGGAAACUAUUCGCUAAAGGGUGUUCGGGAGGCUACGCCGUAAAACAACCCCAUUUCUAAGGUUGACCUCGGAUCAGGUAGGGAUACCCGCUGAACUUAAGCAUAUCA